GCAUGGCAUAGUGGUUUGAGUCUUUGACUAUGACUCUAGAGACCAGGGUUUGAAUCCCAGCUUGCC
This 66-nucleotide transfer RNA is filed under the name Phrynosoma platyrhinos (Desert horned lizard). Its description in RNAcentral is "tRNA-OTHER". The record is from RNAcentral. Lineage: Eukaryota; Metazoa; Chordata; Lepidosauria; Squamata; Phrynosomatidae.